Molecule: non-coding RNA, 21 nt
Filed under: Caenorhabditis elegans
Lineage: Eukaryota; Metazoa; Nematoda; Chromadorea; Rhabditida; Rhabditidae
Source: RNAcentral
UAUUAUUCCCAAAAUUAAAAC